This is a long non-coding RNA of Cynoglossus semilaevis (tongue sole), 381 nucleotides long. RefSeq lists it as uncharacterized. The record is from RefSeq and is a predicted model, not a curated record. The transcript is spliced from 3 exons. NCBI's taxonomy places the organism in Eukaryota, Metazoa, Chordata, Actinopteri, Pleuronectiformes, Cynoglossidae.
ACGCUCACCUGUGCAUCACUGCUCAUUAGUCUCACCCGUCACACCUGGUGUCCUGGUUAUAUAUCUCUCUCCCUCUUGGUUGUUCCUCUGUUUGAUGGUCACCGUUUGACCUGUGAUGUGUGACAGGACAUGUCUGUCCUGGAGGUGGCGCUCUCAUCUCGUGUUCCUCCCUCUCAGUCUUCUGCUCUACCUGUUCUGGCAUUGACAUCGAUGCAGCUCAGAUGUCGUGGUGUUCGUCCUGUCAUCUGUCCUGUGUGUCGCUGUGGUGACCUGGUGUAACAGCAGCCGCCAACCUGCACAUGGAGAAGGGAGGAGAAGGAGGAGGAGGAGGAGGAGGAGGAGGAGGACGGGGGCUGGAGGAGAGUGAUUGAUGAGCCAAAC